AUUGAACGCUGGCGGCAUGCCUAACACAUGCAAGUCGAACGGCAGCACAGUUAGAUCUUGCUGUUACCGAUUGGCGAAGGCGGAAGUAAUACGUAUACAACGGUCCCUUCUUUUUGGUGGGAGUUCAGGAAGCGAGAUUUAUGCCAAUUACGCACUACGGAUGCAAGUGGAGGCAGUUGAUGUUUUGACCUCGCGGGUUUGCACGUGCCGAUGUCGGAUUAGCUAGUUGUAGGGGUAAAGGCCCACCAAGUCGACGAUCCGUAGCUGGUCUGAGAGGAUGAUCAGCCACACUGGAACUGAGACACGGUCCAGACUCCUACGGGAGGCAGCAGUGGGGAAUAUUGGACAAUGGGCGCAAGCCUGAUCCAGCCAUACCGCGUGGGUGAAGAAGGCCUUCGGGUUGUAAAGCCCUUUUGUUGGGAAAGAAAAGCAGCAGGUUAAUACCCCGCUGUUCUGACGGUACCCAAAGAAUAAGCACCGGCUAACUUCGUG
This 492-nucleotide ribosomal RNA is filed under the name uncultured bacterium. RNAcentral's name for it is "partial 16S ribosomal RNA". It matches the Rfam family "Bacterial small subunit ribosomal RNA", at positions 30 to 507 of the family's 1533-position model. The record is from RNAcentral.